RNAcentral lists this ribosomal RNA (430 nucleotides) under Trichadenotecnum sp. Tiger36. RNAcentral describes it as "partial 16S rRNA". RNAcentral also lists the same sequence under 1 other name. The record is from RNAcentral. Lineage: Eukaryota; Metazoa; Arthropoda; Insecta; Psocodea; Psocidae.
UCCAGUCUGCUCACUGAUAAUUUAAAGAGCCGCAGUAUAUUGACUGUGCAAAGGUAGCAUAAUCAAUAGUUUUUUAAUUGAAAACUUGUAUGAAAGAUUAGACGAGAUAUUUAUUUUCUUUAUUUUAAAUAAUUUAAUUUUAAUUUUAAGUGAAAAUGCUUAAUUAAAUUUAAAAGACGAGAAGACCCUAUAGAUUUUUAUUAUUUAAAUAAAUUUUAUAAAAAAUUUAAUAAAAUAAUUUCAUUGGGGUGAUUUUGUAAUAAAGAAAACUUAAUUUUUUAAAACCAAAAAUAAUUGAAAUUUUUGAUCUAAAAUUUUUAAAGAAAAGAUUAAAUUACCUUAGGGAUAACAGCGUAAUUUUUUUUAAGAGUUCAUAUCUAUAAAAAAGUUUGCGACCUCGAUGUUGAAUUAAGAUAAUAUACUGAAGUAG